RNAcentral lists this ribosomal RNA (1212 nucleotides) under metagenome. RNAcentral describes it as "bacterial SSU rRNA". It matches the Rfam family "Bacterial small subunit ribosomal RNA", at positions 272 to 1475 of the family's 1533-position model. The record is from RNAcentral.
GGCGACGAUCUGUAGCGGGUCUUAGAGGAUGAUCCGCCACACUGGAACUGAGACACGGUCCAGACUCCUACGGGAGGCAGCAGUGGGGAAUUUUGGACAAUGGGCGCAAGCCUGAUCCAGCCAUGCCGCGUGAGUGAAGAAGGCCUUCGGGUUGUAAAGCUCUUUCGGCCGGGAAAAAAUCGCUUGGGUUAAUACCCUGAGUGGAUGAUGGUACCGGAAUAAGAAGCACCGGCUAACUACGUGCCAGCAGCCGCGGUAAUACGUAGGGUGCGAGCGUUAAUCGGAAUUACUGGGCGUAAAGCGUGCGCAGGCGGUUUUGUAAGACAGGCGUGAAAUCCCCGGGCUCAACCUGGGAACUGCGUUUGUGACUGCAAGGCUAGAGUAUGGCAGAGGGGGGUGGAAUUCCACGUGUAGCAGUGAAAUGCGUAGAGAUGUGGAGGAACACCAAUGGCGAAGGCAGCCCCCUGGGCCAAUACUGACGCUCAUGCACGAAAGCGUGGGGAGCAAACAGGAUUAGAUACCCUGGUAGUCCACGCCCUAAACGAUGUCAACUAGGUGUUGGGUGGGUAAAACCAUUUGGUACCGUAGCUAACGCGUGAAGUUGACCGCCUGGGGAGUACGGCCGCAAGGUUAAAACUCAAAGGAAUUGACGGGGACCCGCACAAGCGGUGGAUGAUGUGGAUUAAUUCGAUGCAACGCGAAAAACCUUACCUACCCUUGACAUGCCAGGAACUUGCCAGAGAUGGCUUGGUGCCCGAAAGGGAGCCUGGACACAGGUGCUGCAUGGCUGUCGUCAGCUCGUGUCGUGAGAUGUUGGGUUAAGUCCCGCAACGAGCGCAACCCUUGUCGUUAAUUGCCAUCAUUUAGUUGGGCACUUUAACGAGACUGCCGGUGACAAACCGGAGGAAGGUGGGGAUGACGUCAAGUCCUCAUGGCCCUUAUGGGUAGGGCUUCACACGUCAUACAAUGGUCGGUACAAAGGGUUGCCAAGCCGCGAGGCGGAGCCAAUCCCAGAAAGCCGAUCGUAGUCCGGAUCGCAGGCUGCAACUCGCCUGCGUGAAGUCGGAAUCGCUAGUAAUCGUGGAUCAGCAUGUCACGGUGAAUACGUUCCCGGGUCUUGUACACACCGCCCGUCACACCAUUGGAGCGGGUUCCGCCAGAAGUAGGUAGCCUAACCGCAAGGAGGGCGCUUACCACGGCGGGGUUCGUGAC